Molecule: long non-coding RNA, 353 nt
Organism: Dipodomys spectabilis (banner-tailed kangaroo rat)
Lineage: Eukaryota; Metazoa; Chordata; Mammalia; Rodentia; Heteromyidae
Exons: 3
Source: RefSeq, a predicted model, not a curated record
ACAGAAGGAAGGCAGCCGCAUGGAGAAUGAGGGCCGGGGAGUCUACCUGGUGCAGAGGGUGAGGCUCAAGUGGCAAUGUCUACAUCACCGUCCCAGAGAACUAGGAAAAGCUGACCAUCCACCGAGCCCUUGGAGACUCCAGUGAACUAAGUCGUCACGGUAAGAAUGAAGAUCAAACCAGAUAAAGAUCCAGAAGUCCAUGAUAGCUGCAAGCAGAAAGGUGGGUGAUAUUAUGCGAUGUGCACCCUGAGCUGGCACAGGAGACGUCUGGGAAGAAGAGCUCCUGUUCAUUGGCAUGCCCCUGAGCCAGGUCUUCGAAGUCAAAUUAUUCAGAAGGUGUUUUAGUGAAAACG